UACGUAGGUGGCGAGCGUUAUCCGGAAUUAUUGGGCGUAAAGAGCGCGCAGGUGGUUGAUUAAGUCUGAUGCGAAAGCCCACGGCUUAACCGUGGAGGGUCAUUGGAAACUGGUCGACUUGAGUGCAGAAGAGGGAAGUGGAAUUCCAUGUGUAGCGGUGAAAUGCGUAGAGAUAUGGAGGAACACCAGUGGCGAAGGCGGCUUCCUGGUCUGUAACUGACACUGAGGCGCGAAAGCGUGGGGAGCAAACAGGAUUAGAUA
RNAcentral lists this ribosomal RNA (261 nucleotides) under uncultured prokaryote. RNAcentral describes it as "partial 16S ribosomal RNA". It matches the Rfam family "Bacterial small subunit ribosomal RNA", at positions 524 to 784 of the family's 1533-position model. The record is from RNAcentral.